RNAcentral lists this long non-coding RNA (433 nucleotides) under Capra hircus (goat). RNAcentral describes it as "lncRNA (ENSCHIG00000001617.1)". Lineage: Eukaryota; Metazoa; Chordata; Mammalia; Artiodactyla; Bovidae. The record is from RNAcentral.
UAAAAUAGAGGCAUUUAUCUCAAACUUUUUUUCUGCUAUUAUUAAAUUCUAGAGCUGGAGACCUGUGACAAAUAACCCAGACCUUUCUAUAUUGCAGCAGCCAACUUUCCCCUAAGGAAAAUAGCUUUAAGCUUUGAAGACAAAAAGAAAAAGUGAUCAGGACCAUUUCACCAAAGCAGACAACAGGUUGCACGAUUCUAUGGCCUAAUUGGGUCCUAGGACAUGCUAGCUGACAAAGACCAUGGAGUGAGUGAAGGAUCAGGAGAAAACCGAUUUCUCUCUGAAGAAUUUGGAGUUACAGGCAUAACCCAGAGGACUGGGGUUGAAUUCCUUGCCUAACUUUUGGCAGAGGACAUCGUUCUUAAACAAUGUUACAAAGAUAUCCUUGAGAUAAAAUUCUGAGAUGACUCUGUCACUUCUGCCACAUCCCUUA